This is a non-coding RNA of Gossypium raimondii (Peruvian cotton), 144 nucleotides long. NCBI's taxonomy places the organism in Eukaryota, Viridiplantae, Streptophyta, Magnoliopsida, Malvales, Malvaceae. The record is from Rfam.
UGUUAAUAAUUUCAUCAAUUUAUACUGUUAAAAAUGGCGCGACUGAUAGAAUAACCAGAAAAUUAUACGUUGUGUACCAUGUGUACCUCAUUUUGAUGUACUCAGACUAAUUUUUAACAAUAAAAAUGAAUAGAACUUUUAACA